GGACUACCAGGGUAUCUAAUCCUGUUCGCUCCCCACGCUUUCGUGCCUCAGCGUCAGUAUGAUGCCAGGUGACUGCCUUCGCCAUCGACGUUCCUUCCGAUCUCUACGCAUUUCACCGCUACACCGGAAAUUCCAUCACCCUCUCAUCUACUCCAGUUAAGUCGUUUGCGAUGCACUUCCCAGGUUAAGCCCGGGGCUUUCACAUCACACUCACUUAACCGCCUACGCACCCUUUACGCCCAGUAACUCCGAUUAACGCUCGCACCCUCUGUAUUACCGCGGCUGCUGGCAC
Molecule: ribosomal RNA, 292 nt
Filed under: uncultured bacterium
Lineage: Bacteria
Description: partial 16S ribosomal RNA
Source: RNAcentral